GUCCACGCCGUAAACUAUCAAUACUCGUUUUCAGCGAUAUACAGUUGGAGACUAAGCGAAAGUGAUAAGUAUUGCACCUGGGGAGUACGAUCGCAAGGUUGAAACUCAAAGGAAUUGACGGGGGCCCGCACAAGCGGUGGAGCAUGUGGUUUAAUUCGAUGAUACGCGAGGAACCUUACCAGGGCUUAAAUGUAGAGGGAAUGUAGUGGAAACAUUGCAGUCUUCGGACCGUCUACAAGGUGCUGCAUGGCUGUCGU
This 257-nucleotide ribosomal RNA is filed under the name uncultured bacterium. Its description in RNAcentral is "partial 16S ribosomal RNA". It matches the Rfam family "Bacterial small subunit ribosomal RNA", at positions 793 to 1055 of the family's 1533-position model. The record is from RNAcentral.